GAUGAACGCUGGCGGCGUGCCUAAUACAUGCAAGUCGAACGGACAGACGAGGAGCUUGCUGCUCUGACGUUAGCGGCGGGCGGGUGAAUAACACGUGGAUAACCUACCUAUCAUACGGGUAUCACUUCGGGACACCGGCUAUAAUACCAUAGGAUAUCUUGAACCGCGGGGGGCAAUGGAGAGAGACGGUGUUGGUGGAUCUUCUCGCGGCAUCCGCGCUGGAUUAGGUAGUUGGGAAGGUAACGGCUUACCAAGGCAACGAGGCGUAGCCGAGCUACGAGGGGGAUCGGCCACACGGGAACUGAGACACGGACAUGAGUCCUACGGGAGGCAGCAGUAGGGAAUCUGCCGCAGUGGGCGAAAGCAUGGCGGAGCAACGCCGAGUGAGUGAUGACGGCGCUCGGAGCGGAAUACUCUGUUAUUAGGGAAGAACAGAUGUGUAAGUAAAUGAGGAGUUAGUGACGGUACCUAAUAAGAAAGCCACGGCUAACUACGUG
Molecule: ribosomal RNA, 497 nt
Filed under: uncultured bacterium
Lineage: Bacteria
Description: partial 16S ribosomal RNA
Rfam family: Bacterial small subunit ribosomal RNA
Source: RNAcentral